Molecule: ribosomal RNA, 465 nt
Filed under: Vreelandella stevensii
Lineage: Bacteria; Pseudomonadati; Pseudomonadota; Gammaproteobacteria; Oceanospirillales; Halomonadaceae
Description: partial 16S ribosomal RNA
Rfam family: Bacterial small subunit ribosomal RNA
Source: RNAcentral
CCUACGGGAGGCUGCAGUGGGGAAUAUUGGACAAUGGGGGCAACCCUGAUCCAGCCAUGCCGCGUGUGUGAAGAAGGCCCUCGGGUUGUAAAGCACUUUCAGUGAGGAAGAACGCCUGGUGGUUAAUACCCAUCAGGAAGGACAUCACUCACAGAAGAAGCACCGGCUAACUCCGUGCCAGCAGCCGCGGUAAUACGGAGGGUGCGAGCGUUAAUCGGAAUUACUGGGCGUAAAGCGCGCGUAGGUGGCUUGAUAAGCCGGCUGUGAAAGCCCCGGGCUCAACCUGGGAACGGCAUCCGGAACUGUCAAGCUAGAGUGCAGGAGAGGAAGGUAGAAUUCCCGGUGUAGCGGUGAAAUGCGUAGAGAUCGGGAGGAAUACCAGUGGCGAAGGCGGCCUUCUGGACUGACACUGACACUGAGGUGCGAAAGCGUGGGUAGCAAACAGGAUUAGAUACCCCUGUAGUC